AUGUGGAAAAUGCCGUCUGCUGCAGAAGCCUGGGAGUACGGAGCUAAGGAAAGACACGCAGAGGUGAGGGCGAGGGGCGGAAAGAGACCGUCCUCACACCUGCCAUUUGAGUGCCUGUCUGAACUGGAUUUCAUUCCACACACACCGUGGAAAAACUGCAGUUCACCUGCAGAGGCCAGAGAACCUGCAUCGGAGAGUGUUGACGUGAGGACUCCCCCGUCCACACAUGAGGAAUGCAAACGCCCGCCCAGCUGAGGACGGCCAGGAGCACACCUGCCCGGGAUUGCUGGGUCACGAGGUAUGUGCAUCUGUACGUUUCCUAGAUGUUGCCUGUCCGCGUCCCCGCCGGGGUUACCCAAAUGUCAGCUGCUCCACAUUCACACCAGGGCUCAGGAGGCUCAGACUUUGAAAACGGUGCCUCCCGCGGCUAGGACGUGAUACCUUGUUAUUUUCCUGACUGCCG
This 463-nucleotide long non-coding RNA is filed under the name Ailuropoda melanoleuca (giant panda). RNAcentral's name for it is "lncRNA (ENSAMEG00000025952.1)". The record is from RNAcentral. Lineage: Eukaryota; Metazoa; Chordata; Mammalia; Carnivora; Ursidae.